Molecule: ribosomal RNA, 468 nt
Filed under: uncultured bacterium
Lineage: Bacteria
Description: partial 16S ribosomal RNA
Rfam family: Bacterial small subunit ribosomal RNA
Source: RNAcentral
GACGAACGCUGGCGGCGUGCUUAAUACAUGCAAGUCGAACGGAAAGGCCAUGCUUUUGCGGGGUGCUCGAGUGCCGAACGGGUGAGUAACACGUGAGUAACCCGCCCCUGACUUUGGGAUAACACUUGGGAAAAGGGGAUAAUACCGGGUAGGAGCUCCUGCUGCACGGGGGGGGAUGGAAAGAGUCGGCGGUUGUGGAUGGACUCGCGGCUUAUCAGCUGCUUGGUCGGGUAGUGGCUUACGAAGGCUUUGAAGGGUAGCCGGCAUGAGAGGGUGACCAGCGACAAUGGGACUGAGAGACGCAGCAGACUCCUACGGGAGGCAGCAGUCGGGAGUAUUGCGCAAUGGCGGGACGCCUGAUGCAGCGACGCCGCGUGCGGGAUGAUGGCCUUCGGGUUGUAAACCGCUUUGGCCGGUGACGAAGAGUGAGUGACGGUAAUGGGUCAAGAAGCACCGGCUAACUACGUG